GGUAAAAGCUUGAGCCAAACACUAAGUUUAUGCUUUGUUCUUUGACCUUGUGUAACUUUGUCUUUGCUCCUUUCACAGAUUUUGAAAGCCUAACCUUUGGCUCUAGGUUGCUGUGUACUGACUACGUCUGGAGAUUAAUCUGGAUGAUCAAGCCAAUCUACACCCUGUGGAUUUCAUAUCCUAUCUCCUGUCUUUGUUUGGAUUCGCAUCAAGCUGGCAGUUUCCUGCUCCCAUCGUCUCCUGGAUCAAGCCGUAAGCGUAACCUGUCCACCCUCCAACGUAAACAUCUGAACACAGGACUCACUCCUGUCCGCUCCGAGCUCACACAAAACGGCACCCAAGAAACCUUCUACGGACUCACCUUCGUUAAACCUGGAUCCUGAAUCUCUCUACCCCCCUGGCGUCCUGACCACAGCUACCUAUGAGAUUUUCGACCAUUACGUUCCUGAUUGUCAUCUUCCAAAUAACUUUUACUCAUUCUAUUCUCCAGAUUGUUCUCUGUAUGUGGGUCAGAUCUAUUGCAAACAAAAUGACAAGACACUAUGAGCUAGUAUUUUGAUAUAGUUGUACAAUGUGCACAGGUGAAGCUGAGUAAAACCCAAAUCCCUUUUUUAUUCUACUUAGCAGACUGAUUGCAUGAAGCAAUUGGCAACAAUUGCCUCCAAAGAAAAGUAUGCACCUGUCACUUGGCAUCAAAAUGGCCGCACAUGGAAGGAUGGUACCGCUAAGAAUAUUACACCACAAAUAAUUGCUUUUCUUGAUAAUCAAGGUGAGAUGUGGUGGUGGUGGAGGGGCUUCAGUAUGUGUAAGAGUGUGCAGCAAAAAUCCAAGGCUUUUUGUUGCUUGUGCAACACACUGGGGGAAACACUUUUUAAUAAUGGCCUUGUGAAAAUAAGGAGAGCAAAGGAGACAUCUUUUCUCAAAGACAAAAAUUGGGGACAGACUUUUAUAUGAAAUGCAAGGACAGGCAGCAGAGGAAUCAUAAUUUUCUUUAAUAAAUCUUCCUCUGACUUAUUUUGGAAAAUACUUUGCCCAGAGAAGAAAAAGUAAGCUGUGCCUUCACUGAAGCAUCCUAAAACAAUCCCUGUUUGGCGUUGCUUCUUUUUCAUGGGAAACAUGACUUUCCAUGUGUGACUAUUUCUUUUCAUAGUCACCUCUGAAAAGAAAAAUGGACAACUCAGUUUUAAUAUUAAGAAACAGUACAAGAUGAUACAAAGUAGAAAGAAAAUGCACCAAAAUUUUUAUGAGAAGCCACAGCAAUUACAGUACAGGAAGAUUUAAAAUGAUGUCCUACUUUAUCCACCUUUGCUUUUCUUCAUAUCUAUACCAGAGAAAUUAAAAAAAAUAUAACUGCUGAGGCUACAUACAUAACACUUGCAUCACUGCCACAACUGCACCUGUAUUAAAAACUGAGUUUUACAGCUGCAUUUAUUCACAUUCAGCUCACAACCUGCUCUGGAAGAAACCUUUAUGGAAAACUGUUUUUAGAUUACCAAACAUUCUCCUUUUAAAGAUUCAUGUCAAUUAUUUAAUGUUUAUCUCACUGAUUGGGCUCUUGUGUGUACUCUUGCAUGGCUAUUAAAGGCAUCAUGUAUUUUUUGUAUAUUUUAUAUGGAUGUGCUGGCCUAAUUUUGAGGGUUUCUAUAUCUUUCACACACAAGUAAGGAAUGAGAUAGCUGUAACAUAACAGCAUUUUCUAAUAUAAUAAAUCUGCUUUAUUUUCAGAAACUCACUGUAAAUUUCUGU
Girardinichthys multiradiatus is the source of this 1746-nucleotide long non-coding RNA. RefSeq lists it as uncharacterized. The transcript is spliced from 2 exons. The record is from RefSeq and is a predicted model, not a curated record. Lineage: Eukaryota; Metazoa; Chordata; Actinopteri; Cyprinodontiformes; Goodeidae.